Molecule: long non-coding RNA, 185 nt
Filed under: Ictidomys tridecemlineatus (thirteen-lined ground squirrel)
Lineage: Eukaryota; Metazoa; Chordata; Mammalia; Rodentia; Sciuridae
Description: lncRNA (ENSSTOG00000033671.1)
Source: RNAcentral
CCCGAAGGAGCACCAGGACCCACUUCACACCUCCAGUCACUGCCAGAGACUGGCCAGACCUCAGCCAGAACCCUGCAGGUCUCCCCUCUGCUGCUCACCAGGGAGGGGCAGGCCCAGCCACUUCACACCUCCAGUCACUGCCAGAGACCUGGCCAGACCUCAGCCAGAACCCUGCAGGUCUCCCC